UGAUUGGAGCGCGUGCAGCAGUGAGCGCGCCCCGUCAUCAGACAGACCACACUUCUGCAGAUCCACAGCUGCAGAGACACAAGCACCUAUGAGGUCUUCAGCCAGCUCACGAGCGAGGGCAGCCGCUCCCUGGUCCCCGAUCAGGAUGUUUCCGUUAAGUGUGAUGCGCCUGAGCCCGCUCAUGCCCUCAAACUCGGCCUUCCUGUAGCGCAGCGACUCUGCCCACGCCGUGCUGUGUCUACGCACUGCCUGGUGCUGCACAGAAAACCCACUAGUCACCGCAAAGGACCCUGCUCAACAGACUCAUCAUACAACGCAUGAUUAUGCCUAGCUCACCAAGGUGGUGGUGCAUGGUCAGUACUGUCAGUAUUGUCAGUACAGUACUGACUGACUAAAAAAAGUUUCUUUUCAUGAAAUAAAUUAUAUUAAUUGCUAAACAUA
This is a long non-coding RNA of Alosa sapidissima (American shad), 441 nucleotides long. RefSeq lists it as uncharacterized. Lineage: Eukaryota; Metazoa; Chordata; Actinopteri; Clupeiformes; Clupeidae. The transcript is spliced from 2 exons. The record is from RefSeq and is a predicted model, not a curated record.